RNAcentral lists this ribosomal RNA (652 nucleotides) under uncultured Bacilli bacterium. RNAcentral describes it as "bacterial SSU rRNA". It matches the Rfam family "Bacterial small subunit ribosomal RNA", at positions 93 to 733 of the family's 1533-position model. Lineage: Bacteria; Bacillati; Bacillota; Bacilli. The record is from RNAcentral.
GAGUUGCGAACGGGUGAGUAACGCGUAGGUAACCUGCCUCUUAGCGGGGGAUAACUAUUGGAAACGAUAGCUAAUACCGCAUAAAAGUCGAUAUCGCAUGAUAUUGAUUUGAAAGGUGCAAUUGCAUCACUAAGAGAUGGACCUGCGUUGUAUUAGCUAGUUGGUGAGGUAACGGCUCACCAAGGCGACGAUACAUAGCCGACCUGAGAGGGUGAUCGGCCACACUGGGACUGAGACACGGCCCAGACUCCUACGGGAGGCAGCAGUAGGGAAUCUUCGGCAAUGGGGGCAACCCUGACCGAGCAACGCCGCGUGAGUGAAGAGGGUUUUCGGAUCGUAAAGCUCUGUUGUAAGAGAAGAACGAGUGUGAGAGUGGAAAGUUCACACUGUGACGGUAACUUACCAGAAAGGGACGGCUAACUACGUGCCAGCAGCCGCGGUAAUACGUAGGUCCCGAGCGUUAUCCGGAUUUAUUGGGCGUAAAGCGAGCGCAGGCGGUUAGAUAAGUCUGAAGUUAAAGGCUGUGGCUUAACCAUAGUACGCUUUGGAAACUGUUUAACUUGAGUGCAGAAGGGGAGAGUGGAAUUCCAUGUGUAGCGGUGAAAUGCGUAGAUAUAUGGAGGAACACCGGUGGCGAAAGCGGCUCUCUGGU